CCUUAAUCUCUCUAAAGUGACAUAAUGAAAGAGUGAAAAGAAAAUGUACCCUAUGGUCCUGCAGCCACCCCGUACAGCUCCACUUUCCGACUCACGGCCAGGAAAGCGCUGGCUCUGUUUUCCGGAGGCCAAGGGGAGGCCUUUGGCAUCCUGAAAAGGACCACACAUGGAUGAUCCCUACACCAUGCUGACCUCUGGGGCCGAAUCUGUAGCUGGCCAGUGCAUCUCCAGGCCCAGGUGCCCAAGGCAAAGCGUCUACAGAAGGAGUUACGGCUGAAUCCUCCAGUUCCAAUCAAUCUGAAAGCUGUAGAACAAUUAAGAGCAGGGAUUGGCCAGGCACGGUAACAAAGCACUUUCGUGUAAUAUCUCAUCUGGCCAUUGUAAAGAUCAAGUGAGGGAGAGGAGAGGGCAGAUGUUGUGAAGCUCAUUUUACAAUGGAAGAAACUGAGGCUCAGAAUGCAUCAAGAGGCACACAGCAAUACAACUGGAGUCAGGAAGAGGCAUCGGAAUGAUUCAAAACUCUGGUUCUGCCCUAGAGGGACUUCAAGCUGAGGACAUUCUAACUCAGAGGGCCUCAGCUGCAGAACCAAGUGGACUCCAGUGUUGCAGACCAGUGAGGAUGGCAAUGCUGGCAAGACCAAGAUGGACAGUGUUGCAAUGGCCUCAAGCUUGCUACUAAGACUGGCCCUUGUGGGGGAGAAUAUUUGGUCCAGUAUUCAGAGUCUAAAGGGUAGAGAGAGUGAGGAUUUGUUUCAGGCAGAUAACAAUAACCCUGAAGGUCCAGUCCAGGAGGCAGGGCACAUCUGAGAUGCAGGAAACAGGUAACAUGCAAAGUCAGAUGCACAGUGGGAUGUGGUUUGAGAGAUUAGUGACACCCCCUUAGUGAGAUUUCCACAACCAUCUGUGGGAUGGGCGACUGAGGCCAUUCUAGCUCCUUAUGAAGGGGCAAGAGCUCGCUAGAUACAGGGGCCUGGUGUGUAAGAGUAUUGGGUGGGAAUCAGAUCAGGCGAGGACUAGGAGAGACUGGCAGGGGGGCUGAGGGUCAGACCUAGACACUGAGCCAGCAGGCAGCACAGAGGGCCCGUGACAUCCCAAGCACAACGCCCUGAGAUGGACUAGUCCCUAAUUUCAGACCUCUAGCUGUGGACAGAUGACAUAUUUUCUUUCUCUGGGAUAAAUUAGAUGAGGACCUGGGAGGACCUGGGAGGACCGCGUUUUCUGGGAGAAGCCCUGGAAUACAAGAUUUAAUGUACUUAAAGGGAGCUCACAUUCCCAUCAACCUGGAGCAGCUCAGCUGGGAAUGUCUGAGCUGGCCUCAAAGUCUCAGCCGAAUCCAGAGCUAUCUAAGGAAUGUGGAAGCUGAAACCAACUUCACCUGGAUCUUUGCCUCAUGGUAACAUCCUUGCCCUAUGAGUUGCUGCCUGCAUAGAUGGAAGUAGAAGAGAGGAGACAUUGUUUUAGACAAACAUGUAACAUAAAUAAUUUUUAUUAUGGAAUUAAAUAAUUCUGUAGAUACAUUAGAGCAAAGUUAUUUUAUCUGGAUUGUAUUUUGACCUGUGCAUCCUAUUCAACAACAAUCUUUUUUAAAAAAUUUACUCUCCUCCAAAACAUUUAUUCCAUUACAAUGUGAAUAACUAA
Molecule: long non-coding RNA, 1638 nt
Organism: Callithrix jacchus (white-tufted-ear marmoset)
Lineage: Eukaryota; Metazoa; Chordata; Mammalia; Primates; Cebidae
Source: RefSeq, a predicted model, not a curated record